AAAUAAAUAAUAUUGACCAUAAACCAGGGAACCAAUAUUUGACCACUUGCAUUUCUCUAAUGCAUCCAAAGCGUAUCCUGACAAUCUUUUGACAAGUUUUAUUUUAGGGAGGUGUUUUAAACUGAUAGUAGUACAAUGGCUUUAAACUGAAUCAUUCUUCUAAGGUCACCACGUGGUGUGAUGGACUGCUUUUGUCAACACUUUCAUUUCCUUUGUCAAUCAACAAAAGUAAUUGCGUCACACUUUUGUGGGCUGCUGUGACAAUGAGACGUUACAUGUACUGUUGACAAAAGUACACAAAGUUUGACAAUUUCCAUCACCUAUAUGAAAAGCGAUAAGUUGUCACGGAGCUGUAGCUUUACCGAUAAUGUGCGUGGAAACUGUGGUGCGUCAUCCUAACCCUAUACCCUCCCAAUGUUUGUUUCACUCCUUUUAACCUGUUGCUGAACUAAAAAUAAUAAUAAUAAUAAUAUCACUAAAACAUACAUGUAAAGCGGAAAGAUAACAGCACGUAGCUAGUUCGCGCAGCAGACAAAAUUGGUUGCACGAGCUAACCCUUUCACGCGCCGGCGGGAAUUUAUUUCUCGGCACUGGCUUGGCAUGACAGAAAAAAACAAAGCAAAGACAGGAGCAAUGGAAGAUGUAACAAAAGUCCCGCAAACUACUACAAAAGAAACUCCUCUUCAACUACAGUGAUGUGUGAGUGUUAGCGGUAUCCGGUGUGGCUGGACGGGUGUUAGCCAGUUUCAUCCCAAAUCUCCACCCAACAUAGCUGCUGCCCAGAGAUUAACUCUACCACAUAGAUCUUUGUCUCUCUGGAAGCGAUUAAACCAGAGGGGCAGCCUGAAACGAUUACAGAUAACAUUGAUGAAGUCCCAUCGUUUGAAGUCCAGCCUUUUCCUGGGUCUCAUAUGCUUGUGCAAAUGUUUCUUUUUCCUCCUUUGGCCAAGUCUGUAAGGCUUAAACUUAUGUGGCACACAGGUCGUGGAGUGAGCUUUGGGAGUCACCACAAGGUCGGCCUUCCUCCCAGAUAACUCUUUUCCCCUGAGGGGGAGUGAGCGAGAGGUUCUUGAAGUUGUCAUGGAGAUGCAACCUUUGCUAAACUAAAAGUGAUCCCAUGGAAGUCAGAUCAUUAUCAGUGCAGACUUGGAAAAUUACAACAUGGCCUCUAAAAGGAUUCAUUUGUUAUUCAAAUUAA
Molecule: long non-coding RNA, 1198 nt
Organism: Cyprinus carpio (common carp)
Lineage: Eukaryota; Metazoa; Chordata; Actinopteri; Cypriniformes; Cyprinidae
Exons: 5
Source: RefSeq, a predicted model, not a curated record